UGCGAGUUGUUCUGACUUUGGGGGU
RNAcentral lists this non-coding RNA (25 nucleotides) under Rattus norvegicus (Norway rat). Lineage: Eukaryota; Metazoa; Chordata; Mammalia; Rodentia; Muridae. The record is from RNAcentral.